This 840-nucleotide ribosomal RNA is filed under the name uncultured archaeon. Its description in RNAcentral is "bacterial SSU rRNA". It matches the Rfam family "Archaeal small subunit ribosomal RNA", at positions 52 to 870 of the family's 1478-position model. The record is from RNAcentral.
UGCGAGUCGAGCGUCUCUAGCUAUGUUGAGACGCGGCAUACGGCUCAGUAACACGUGGCUAACCUACCCUCAGGACGGGGACAAACCCGGGAAACUGGGGCUAAUAUCCGAUAGGUGAGGAUGCCUGGAAUGGUUUCUCACUCAAAGGGCUUUAGGAACAUGCUUCUAAAGUCGCCUGGGGAUGGGGCCGCGACCGAUCAGGUUGUUGGUGAGGUAAUGGCUCACCAAGCCUAUAACCGGUACGGGCCGUGAGAGCGGUAGCCCGGAGAUGGGUACUGAGACAAGGACCCAGGCCCUACGGGGCGCAGCAGUCGCGAAAACUCCGCAAUGCACGAAAGUGUGACGGGGCUACCCCAAGUGCCAUCCGCUGAGGUUGGCUUUUCCUUGGUAUAACUAGCCAGGGGAAUAAGGAGAGGGCAAGACUGGUGUCAGCCGCCGCGGUAAUACCAGCUCUCCGAGUGGUAGGGAUGAUUAUUGGGCUUAAAGCGUCCGUAGCCGGCUUAGCAAGUCUCCUGUUAAAUUCAGCGACCUAAUCGUUGAGCCGCGGGAGAUACUACUAGGCUAGGAGGCGGGAGAGGUCGACGGUACUUCUGGGGUAGGGGUGAAAUCCUAUAAUCCCGGGAGGACCACCAGUGGCGAAGGCUGUCGACUAGAACGCGCUCGACGGUGAGGGACGAAAGCUGGGGGAGCGAACCGGAUUAGAUACCCGGGUAGUCCCAGCCGUAAACGAUGCGGGCUAGGUGUUGGGGUGGCUACGUGCCACUUCAGUGCCGCAGGGAAGCCAUUAAGCCCGCCGCCUGGGGAGUACGGCCGCAAGGCUGAAACUUAAAGGAAUUGGCG